AGCGAACGCUGGCGGCAGGCCUAACACAUGCAAGUCGAACGAACUCUUCGGAGUUAGUGGCGGACGGGUGAGUAACACGUGGGAACGUGCCUUUUGGUUCGGAAUAACUCAGGGAAACUUGUGCUAAUACCGAAUGUGCCCUUCGGGGGAAAGAUUUAUCGCCAUUAGAGCGGCCCGCGUCUGAUUAGCUAGUUGGCGAGGUAACGGCUCACCAAGGCGACGAUCAGUAGCUGGUCUGAGAGGAUGACCAGCCACACUGGGACUGAGGCACGGCCCAGACUCCUACGGGAGGCAGCAGUGGGGAAUCUUGCGCAAUGGGCGAAAGCCUGACGCCGCCAUGCCGCGUGAAUGAUGAAGGUCUUAGGAUUGUAAAAUUCUUUCACCGGGGACGAUAAUGACGGUACCCGGAGAAGAAGCCCCGGCUAACUUCGUG
RNAcentral lists this ribosomal RNA (433 nucleotides) under uncultured bacterium. Its description in RNAcentral is "partial 16S ribosomal RNA". It matches the Rfam family "Bacterial small subunit ribosomal RNA", at positions 29 to 507 of the family's 1533-position model. The record is from RNAcentral.